Molecule: long non-coding RNA, 504 nt
Organism: Frieseomelitta varia
Lineage: Eukaryota; Metazoa; Arthropoda; Insecta; Hymenoptera; Apidae
Exons: 3
Source: RefSeq, a predicted model, not a curated record
UCGGCCAGUUUUAAUAUGAGAUUCUUACGAUUAUAAUAAAUUAGGUCAAGGAGGCAAUGAAAAAAUUGCUUUAAUCAAAAAUUCCAUGAGGAAUUAUAAAAUUGUAAAGACUGGUACAUCGUCUUAUUGGUGUAACGUGAUCUGAAUUCUGUCAGCUGAUUCCAGUAAAGAUUCGAACGAUUAAGAUUGUAAAUUGUCAUGCGUUGAUAUGUUGUGCUCCUAAAACUUCUAGUCACUCUGCUGGAUUGCCAAAAACUGCAGGCUGCUAAUUGGACCCAGAUGUAUAUUAAAGCAAGCUAAGCCCAGAUGGACACGUCUCUAUGCCUACCUCUUAGCGUUUUGAACCUUGGAAUUGGUAGUCAGGUAUGAUACAAUAAUAAAAUAAAAGGUAACGGAAGACAUGAAGUAUAAUCGCGGGAAGUCCCUGCCAUAGAGAAAAUUAUAAAUUAGAAAGUUACUAUCCCUGGCUCGAUGAAUUUGUCUUUCGCGUUACAGUUUUUAUCC